RNAcentral lists this transfer RNA (88 nucleotides) under Xylophilus sp. Its description in RNAcentral is "tRNA-Asn". Lineage: Bacteria; Pseudomonadati; Pseudomonadota; Betaproteobacteria; Burkholderiales. The record is from RNAcentral.
GCCCGAGUUGGCCAGGGUGCGGGCGCGCUCGUUGUUGGCGCGCGCGUCGGCGGCGCUGGCCUCGGCUUCGAGCAGGCUGGCGCGGGCC